This 650-nucleotide ribosomal RNA is filed under the name uncultured bacterium. Its description in RNAcentral is "bacterial SSU rRNA". It matches the Rfam family "Bacterial small subunit ribosomal RNA", at positions 22 to 669 of the family's 1533-position model. The record is from RNAcentral.
GCUCAGAUUGAACGCUGGCGGCAUGCUUUACACAUGCAAGUCGAACGGUAACAGGUCUUCGGAUGCUGACGAGUGGCGAACGGGUGAGUAACACAUCGGAACGUGCCUAGUAGUGGGGGAUAACUACUCGAAAGAGUAGCUAAUACCGCAUGAGAUCUACGGAUGAAAGCAGGGGACCUUCGGGCCUUGUGCUACUAGAGCGGCUGAUGGCAGAUUAGGUAGUUGGUGGGGUAAAGGCUCACCAAGCCUGCGAUCUGUAGCUGGUCUGAGAGGACGACCAGCCACACUGGGACUGAGACACGGCCCAGACUCCUACGGGAGGCAGCAGUGGGGAAUUUUGGACAAUGGGCGAAAGCCUGAUCCAGCAAUGCCGCGUGCAGGAUGAAGGCCCUCGGGUUGUAAACUGCUUUUGUACGGAACGAAAAGCCUGAGGCUAAUAUCCUCGGGUCAUGACGGUACCGUAAGAAUAAGCACCGGCUAACUACGUGCCAGCAGCCGCGGUAAUACGUAGGGUGCAAGCGUUAAUCGGAAUUACUGGGCGUAAAGCGUGCGCAGGCGGUUUUGUAAGACAGUGGUGAAAUCCCCGGGCUCAACCUGGGAACUGCCAUUGUGACUGCAAGGCUAGAGUGCGGCAGAGGGGGAUGGAAUUC